RNAcentral lists this ribosomal RNA (303 nucleotides) under uncultured bacterium. RNAcentral describes it as "partial 16S ribosomal RNA". It matches the Rfam family "Bacterial small subunit ribosomal RNA", at positions 507 to 807 of the family's 1533-position model. The record is from RNAcentral.
AGCAGUCGCCGCGGGAAAACGAAGGGUGCAAGCGUUACUCGGAAUUACUGGGCGUAAAGCGUGCGUAGGUGGUCUGACAAGUCAGAUGUGAAAUCCCCGGGCUUAACCUGGGAACUGCAUUUGAAACUGUCAGGCUGGAGUCUUGUAGAGGGGGGUAGAAUUCCAGGUGUAGCGGUGAAAUGCGUAGAGAUCUGGAGGAAUACCGGUGGCGAAGGCGGCCCCCUGGACAAAGACUGACGCUCAGGUGCGAAAGCGUGGGGAGCAAACAGGAUUAGAUACCCCUGUAGUCCCUGUCUCUUAUAC